Molecule: long non-coding RNA, 579 nt
Filed under: Malus domestica (apple)
Lineage: Eukaryota; Viridiplantae; Streptophyta; Magnoliopsida; Rosales; Rosaceae
Description: long non-coding RNA (MDOM_LNC008149)
Source: RNAcentral
AUCCACGAGCUACACACGUCAAGGACCCAUAUGAGACCACGCUCGCUCACGCGCCAGCGAGUACGGCUAUACUCGCCUUCUUCGCAAGUUCCUGCAUUUGUAGGUUGAAGGUCUAACUUCCAGAGCUCCUAACGAGCUCGAUUCUCAACCAACAAUAAUUCUACAAAGAUCAAAUUAAAGCUAGGAAUGUAAUGAAUCGAUCCUAUUCACAGAAAGUUCAAAAGUGGUUCGUGUCGUCUAGAACUUUGGCUUAAAUGUGGCCAAAUGGCCACGGUCAACUUUUCCCGGAAAUCUGGGAAUUUCUUCCCAACUUCCAGAGUUGAUUUCUAACUCAAUAGUUACCUAAACUCAAUGAUUCAAAAUCCAUUUUAAAGUUAGAAAUAUAGAGAACAAGUCUAUACCUAUUAUGAGUCCAGUCGUAGUCGAGGUUGGCCAGAAAAAUGGCCUGAAGGUGGCCAAAUUGCCACGGGUCCGAGUUUCCAGAAAUCUGGGAAAUUUUAUCCUAACUUUGAAGGCAAAUUUCUAGUUCGCUACCUAACCAUUUUCAGUGUUCUACUUAUAUAUUUGAAGCUCGUAAUG